GGGAAAGUUUCUUCAGCUUUCCAAAAAAUUCUCUUUCUGGGCAGACUCCAAGCUUGGAAAAUGUCAGCCUGAGAAGUGAAACAUAAGGAAAAUUACAAGCAAUGGAAUACAAGGAGAUGAAAUAAAUCGUUUAUCACUGAUAGUAGACUACCAGCUAUAUUACACAUUUUAAAUGGAGUUCUCUUUUAACAAAAAUAAUUAUAAAAAACACUUUCCAAUUAAUUGAAAGAACUUAUUGCUCCAGAAUAUCAGUGAAAACCCUGUCUUGAGAAAUGUCCUUUAGUUAAAUACACACCAGCCCUAGUCCCUAUGUCUGUAUAACUACAAGCAUAUUUUGGUUUUAGAAGAAAUUUUUAACAUUCAUAUUUUCACCACUGCUUACCUAGUAGAUUCUUGAUGGAGCGAGAGGGAGCUUGAAAUUAUUCUGGCCCCAUCUUGCAUCCUGUGCUGUCAUGACAGAAGCUGAUGGCACCUGGGUUCUCCUUGAAACUUCUACAGGUUCCAUGUGCUUCUGUUUCUCUGGCUGACCCUUAAAUAGUGGCCUCUGAGCUUCUGAUAUGAGAGUGAGAAAAAUACACAAGAGUUAGAAAGCCCAGUGUCUCUCUAGGUGCCAAGAUUUUCCUGUUCUCUGAGGUUUUGUUCCAGAAUAAUUUCUCAUGUUUCUUUAUGUUCCAGUAUGAUUUUCUUCUUCCAGGAAGGCAUUACUUGAUUUUGGGAUUUUUACCUUCAGUGCAAGCAUAUGAUUUCAAAUACCUUCCUCAGACUCCCACUGUAGUUCCUCAGAAAUGUAAUGGGCAGCAUUUGCACCUAUAAGCCCCAACCAAGAUCAGAGCCUCAUUUGGAUCCCGUGAUCAAAGCCUCUUUUGUACUACGGACUCCACAUAUGCACAGAGGGUAGCUGAGGUUUUUAGUCUAAACACUGAAACCAGGCAAGUGUCAGUGAAGGGAUGGGUGCUGGCCCUUAGCACUGACCAGCCUGUUGAGCAGUGCUGAGGAAAAUGUUGUAGAAGUCAGUCAGGCCCAGAUCCCCUGCAGUCCCUUCACCAUUCUUCCUCUCCUCAGUGCUGUAGCACUUCCAAAAUGAGAGGCAUGAUAUGACUGUGAUUUCCUUGAUGUCUUUGGGCUAGUAAAUUACCUACCCAAGACCUUAGAAAGGGAUGUAAUGACUGUACCCAGGGCUGUCAUCUUUUUGCUCAUAAAGAUGGAAUGACAAAGCAACUUGGUAAGCAGGCUUAACAGCAAGGAUAACCUAAUGUGAGCCAUAAUUCUGUGAUAUUUUGUGCUCCAGCAAGUUCCUGUUGGGAGCAGUGGGAGCCAAAGUCCAUAAUCUCCUUUGUAAGAGCUUGGCAAACAUGGGAGGUGACUACAGCAGUAAUGGCACAAAAGAUGCUUUAAAGCCCAGCCCUGGUUAUGGAAGGAAGCUGGGAGUCAAGGCUCAUGCCCACAGCAGAGGUGUAAGGAAGAGGGGAAAAAGGAAGGGGUAGUGUCAGUGUGGCUGAGGUUUAUUAAUCCAAAACUAAAAGUAAACAUAAAUAACCUGUAAAGAGUGUGGAAGUAGAAGGAACAUUUUAAUUCAGCUUUGCAGAUUGUGGAUAAGUGAUUCUGGGAGGCCAGGGUAAUUUUUUUAACUACUCUGGUGAUGGUGAUAUUGCUGUGUAAUCUGAAAGUAAAGAGAAAACUAUAUUUUGUUGGAAUACUAAUGUGUUAAUAAUUAUAAAAUAUGCUUCUCCAAACUGCUGUCCAAUGGAAGCAGCCUCCAUAAGCAGUGUGGUGUUCAUGCUGUCAGGCACUCAUUAUUUCUGUUCAAUGGUGGCAGGAAGGCACCAGCUUAACUAUAAAUACUGACAGCAAGCUGAAAAGUCUUCUGUUGGAAGGGAAAAAAGUAAGGACAGACAGUUAAAAACCCACCUUUACAGUUUCUUGAUGGUGAAAACAGAGGUGAUGACACUUAUGACACCCAGAAAAUGCUAAGGAAACAUGAAAUGGAACAACCAGUUUCAAUAGUUGAGGUGGGAACAAAAUCUUUCCACCUGAAGCUAUAUUAAAAUAUUUUCUUUCAGAUCUUCUUCCUUAGAGAAAGGAGACUUUGUGUGUGUGUGUCUGUGUGUGGUUGGGGAUGGUGGAAAAUAAAAAUUUUCAGUAUUUCA
Long non-coding RNA from Cyanistes caeruleus (blue tit), 2147 nucleotides. The record is from Ensembl. Lineage: Eukaryota; Metazoa; Chordata; Aves; Passeriformes; Paridae.